Schizosaccharomyces pombe (fission yeast) is the source of this 922-nucleotide non-coding RNA. Lineage: Eukaryota; Fungi; Ascomycota; Schizosaccharomycetes; Schizosaccharomycetales; Schizosaccharomycetaceae. The record is from the annotation of a GenBank genome assembly.
CUUGGGGAAUGGUGAAGGAUUGGAAGAUAGGUAAUACAUUUACCAACUACAACAUCAAUGAAAUAUAUCGCGAAUUGCUGAAACUUCACGCUUUAAGUAAUUAAUGUAUGGGAAAUUUGUUUUUUUAUAUUCAUUUAGUGAUUGAAUGUUUUUGGUCAAAGUCGUAAUGGCACUUUGGUAAUAGUUAAAUAGUUGAAUGGCAAAAACGUUGGAUUCUAGGAUUCAAGCCCAGAGGGAGACUGCCAAUGCAUUGAAAUGAUAGUUAAUUAAAAAAAAUUGAUAAAAACCCAAUUAUCUUUGUAAACAUAAACAGUUUAACACCUUUCAUUUUUUUAUAGGCCCAUUUUGCCCGUUGAUUUGCCCUUGACCAUCGGAGAACCUGGUUUGUCUGGGAAUGGUUAUUUAAGUCUCCUAAAGCUUUAGCACUGUUGAAUUAGAUUAAGAAACUUAUAUGUUCAUCUCAAACUUCAUAUAAUUAAACGUAUGGUUUGUUUGACCCACUUUUUAUGCUAUCUCUCUGUACUAAUUAUUAUUGAAAUGAGAAUUGACUUGAUUUGGGAAUGCAUAUUAUUAUAAGCUGUAUUAUGAAGGUUGUGAAAUCAUUUCUGUAAGGUGCUGCUGCUUUUAUAAAUUAAAAGAGGUUUUGUAAUAUCGACAUGAUAUUUGGUAUUAUCUCCAUGUAUUCGCAUUUUACGAUGUUCCUGCAAUCUUUAGAAUGGCGUAUGUGCAUAUUUUGAAACUAAAAAACAUCUUACAUUUUAAAAAAGGCUUUUUCCUCGCAAUGUCAGAAAAGCAACUGCUACUCGGUUCACCGGGAAUUCAUGAACAAAACAAUGAAAUUUGAUUGUAUUUUUCUUCGAUACUAUAUUCAACUGACUAGAUACUUAUGAAAUAAAAUAAAAAACUAUUUAUAUCCUUGUGA